GACCUCAUGGACGGGAUGUUGUGU
Molecule: non-coding RNA, 24 nt
Filed under: Arabidopsis thaliana (thale cress)
Lineage: Eukaryota; Viridiplantae; Streptophyta; Magnoliopsida; Brassicales; Brassicaceae
Source: RNAcentral